AUUGAACGCUGGCGGCAGGCCUAACACAUGCAAGUCGAGCGAGCGGCGGACGGGUGAGUAAUUUCUGGGAAACUGCCUGAUGGAGGGGGAUAACUACUUGAAACGGUAGCUCAUACCGCAUACCAUCAUAUUUGCCCAGAUGGGAUUAGCUAGUAGGUGGGGUAAUGGCUCACCUAGGCGACGAUCCCUAGCUGGUCUGAGAGGAUGACCAGCCACACUGGAACUGAGACACGGUCCAGAGUCCGACGGGAGGCAGCAGUGGGGAAUAUUGCACAAUGGGCGAAAGCCUGAUGCAGCCAUGCCGCGUGUGUGAAGAAGGCCUUCGGGUUGUAAAGCACUUGCAGCGGGGAGGCGUUACCCGCAGAAUAAGCACCGGCUAACUCCGUGCCAGCAGCCGCGGUAAUAC
RNAcentral lists this ribosomal RNA (406 nucleotides) under uncultured bacterium. RNAcentral's name for it is "partial 16S ribosomal RNA". It matches the Rfam family "Bacterial small subunit ribosomal RNA", at positions 30 to 526 of the family's 1533-position model. The record is from RNAcentral.